RNAcentral lists this ribosomal RNA (253 nucleotides) under uncultured bacterium. RNAcentral describes it as "partial 16S ribosomal RNA". It matches the Rfam family "Bacterial small subunit ribosomal RNA", at positions 524 to 776 of the family's 1533-position model. The record is from RNAcentral.
UACAGAGGUCUCAAGCGUUGUUCGGAUUCAUUGGGCGUAAAGGGUGUGUAGGUGGCGCGGUAAGUCGGGUGUGAAAUUUCGGAGCUUAACUCCGAAACUGCAUUCGAUACUGCGGUGCUUGAGGACUGGAGAGGAGACUGGAAUUCAGGGUGUAGCAGUGAAAUGCGUAGAGAUCGUGAGGAAGACCAGUGGCGAAGGCGGGUCUCUGGACAGUUCCUGACACUGAGACACGAAGGCCAGGGGAGCAAACGGG